GACAGAGGGUGCAAACGUUGCUCGGAAUUAUUGGGCGUAAAGCGCACGUAGGCGGUAUGGCAAGUCCCAUGUGAAAGCCCACGGCUCAACCGUGGAAGUGCAUGGGAAACUGCCGUACUUGAGUACUUAAGAGGAUCGUGGAAUUCCCGGUGUAGAGGUGAAAUUCGUAGAUAUCGGGAGGAACACCAGUGGCGAAGGCGGCGAUCUGGGAAGAUACUGACGCUGAGGUGCGAAAGCGUGGGGAGCAAACAG
RNAcentral lists this ribosomal RNA (252 nucleotides) under uncultured bacterium. Its description in RNAcentral is "partial 16S ribosomal RNA". It matches the Rfam family "Bacterial small subunit ribosomal RNA", at positions 524 to 775 of the family's 1533-position model. The record is from RNAcentral.